Molecule: ribosomal RNA, 585 nt
Filed under: uncultured bacterium
Lineage: Bacteria
Description: bacterial SSU rRNA
Rfam family: Bacterial small subunit ribosomal RNA
Source: RNAcentral
CCUACGGGAGGCAGCAGUGGGGAAUCUUGGACAAUGGGCGCAAGCCUGAUCCAGCAAUGCCGCGUGGGUGAAGACGGCCUGCGGGUUGUAAAGCCCUUUUGGCGGGGAAGAAAGCCCUGGGUUAAACAGACUCAGGGGGUGACGUUACCCGCUGAAGAAGCACCGGCCAACUCCGUGCCAGCAGCCGCGGUAAUACGGAGGGUGCGAGCGUUAAUCGGAAUUACUGGGCGUAAAGCGCACGUAGGCGGUGAGUUAAGUCAGUUGUGAAAGCCCUGGGCUCAACCUGGGAACGGCAAUUGAUACUGACCGACUGGAGUGUAACAGAGGACCGUGGAAUUCCCGGUGUAGCGGUGAAAUGCGUAGAGAUCGGGAAGAACACCGAUGGCGAAGGCAGCGGUCUGGGUUAACACUGACGCUGAGGUGCGACAGCGUGGGGAGCAAACAGGAUUAGAUACCCUGGUAGUCCACGCCGUAAACGAUGAGAACUAGACGCUGGGUGGGUAACUGCUCGGUGUCGGAGCUAACGCGUUAAGUUCUCCGCCUGGGGAGUACGGCCGCAAGGUUGAAACUUAAAGGAAUUGACGG